GUCAGUGAUGGAGCUUGGAUUCAAAACCUGGAACUCCUGACCGCAAGUCCAUGGAUCUUACUAAGCUAUCUCAUGGGCCCUGCAGGAUUGGGGAUGGAAGCAACCUGAAUACCCUUUUGUGGGGCCACAGAAUGUCUGGAGAGAGCCAAGGAAUCCAUCCUUUCAUUCUUGAGGCCAUUCCUUUCUAAAUUGAAUGUGGGUUCUUCUGAUAAAUCCAAUGGGGACGUCAGCAAGCCACUCAGUAUACAGUAAUAUCCCUGGCAGGGAUAGCAAUAACAACUGUGGAGGAUUGGGCAGGACUAUGCUGGCCUAGGAGGAGAAACCUCACCUCAACAACUGCCCCUUUUAAUACAAGACUGCUCUGAUCUUCAUCUCCACUGCUGUCACCACUCAGGGAAGGGCAGUAGCACUGCCCUUGACUCAGUCCAAUUGCCCUGCCCCAGACACAAGAGCGAAGCAAUUUCCUUCCCUCUCUCCAUCUCCCUUCUUUCCUCUUUUUUCUUUUCACAGGUUAAAUCCAAGACCUGGCAUUCUGUUUAUAGUGUGUGGUAUUUGUUUGGCCAAUGAGAUGAGUAAAAUCUUCAAAUCCCAGAAGUCUAUGAAGGUCCAAGCCACUCCUCUUACCUUUGAGGAGCAGAAUCUGUUCUACCCUUCAAGUAGAGGUAGACUGUAAACAAGUAGACUGUUUAUAAGUACAGUAGGAGCAGAGUGCUAUAUGAAGUUAGACAAUAUUGAAGAUUCCUUUGUGAAGUAAAAACAAGUCCCUUGAAUUAAUAAUUAACUCUCCAAGAGAGGCAGCAAUAGCAUAGUAUGAAAGAUGCUAAUUCGUGACCCCAGAUGGUCAUAUCACUUCAGGGAGUCCAGGAAGAAAGACUCAGAGAGGAAUCCAAAUUCUGAUGAGACAUUUAGAAUGUGUAUGGGACUGAAGUAGAAGAAACUAUGAGAAACUAUAUGGUUGAGAAAGUUUAAGUAUUGUCAGGGACUAUUGCCACAAAGGCCUGGGCCUCCAGAAGCGAGGCUGCAUGGGCCACUGGGGGGAUGAGGAAAGCCAAAACAGGUACUAUACUGUUUUAAACUCUUCCCUCAACUACCAACACUAAGGUGAUAAUUCUGGACCUCCUUUCUUCCCUUGAUGGGAACCUGAAGCCUUUUCCUCUGAGAA
Molecule: non-coding RNA, 1162 nt
Organism: Phascolarctos cinereus (koala)
Lineage: Eukaryota; Metazoa; Chordata; Mammalia; Diprotodontia; Phascolarctidae
Source: RefSeq, a predicted model, not a curated record